AGUCCAGAGUUCCCACCAUAUGUGUGAGUGCCCUACUCCUAGUCUCUCUCCACUCUCAAUAUGUAGGUCUAGUUCACCUUUCUAUCUUCUACGCAAACUCAGAUCUCCACCGGCCAGUUAUUUCCCACUUUUAUCUGUUUUCCGGUAUCUUAACUAUUUUAUAUCUUUUUUAUGUUCUUGAACUCUUGAUUGUUUUCGUAUUUUCCUACUUUUCUGAUAGGGUUUUCUAUCAAAUCUACUUUUUUUUAUUGGCAUAAAGACAAUUAGAUAAAGGGUUUCUUAUAGAUUGGCUGGAAUCUAAGCACAAGGGUGUGUUUUUUCUGUAGAUUUAAUAAUGAAAAUACUGAUCACACACCAGAAAAGAGAAAUAGGGCUUUGCUGUUAUUGUAUUUUUUUAUUGUAUUUAGUUUGAAGAUUUUGUAAAGGAGUUACUACAGUAGAUCUUUUGGUUCCAUUUGGUACCCCUCACUUCAUGACUUUAGGAUUCCGCCAAUCUAGAUGUGCCACAUCAGACCUUCCCUCGUGGCCUUAAUUAUUGAGACUGAACCCCUUGAAACAUAAAUUUGUGUUAGCCAAUUUUUUCAUCUCAAAGUCCCUCAAAUCAAACCCUGUUCUUCAUAUUCAUGGGCUUAAUGAAUCGGCUGUGGCCAACGGCUAGGUUAUCUGGUAGAUACAUCGAUCGCAGUCGUUGUUUUCCGGCGUGGCAUCAUCAAGAUUCACGUACAAAAUGCAAAAGCGUUUUGAGGAUGAGAAUCUUGAUGAUGCUGCAUCGGAAAUAAAACGACUACAAGUAGCAGAUCAAGGAGAUUCAAGGAAGCAAAAGGAUAUGUUUACAUGAACUGAUUAUUCUUUUUAUUUUUUUAGAUGUAACAAGCAUGUAGAGAUACUUAUGAUCAUGUGUACGUUUUUAGUUUUAUGUCCAUAUAAUGUCUGGAUCUAUGUAAACUGCUUUCAUUGCCUCUAGUGUCUUACUAUGGAUCUAUGUAAACUGCUUUCAUUGCCUCUAGUGUGUUACUAGAAAGCAUAUGUUAAUAUAUUGUGUGGUUCCAAAAAAA
Helianthus annuus (common sunflower) is the source of this 1055-nucleotide long non-coding RNA. RefSeq lists it as uncharacterized. NCBI's taxonomy places the organism in Eukaryota, Viridiplantae, Streptophyta, Magnoliopsida, Asterales, Asteraceae. The transcript has 2 exons. The record is from RefSeq and is a predicted model, not a curated record.